UACGGAGGGUGCAAGCGUUAAUCGGAUUUAUUGGGCGUAAAGGGGGCGUAGGCGGACCUGUAGGUCAAACGUGAAAUUUCGCAGCUCAACUGCGAAACCGCGCUUGAAACCACUGGUCUUGAGUAUUGGCGGAGGAAACGGAAUUCCAUGUGUAGCGGUGAAAUGCGUAGAUACAUGGAGGAACACCCGUGGCGAAGGCGGUUUCCUAGCUUUGUCUGACGCUGAGGCCCGAAAGCCGGGGGAGCGAACAGG
RNAcentral lists this ribosomal RNA (252 nucleotides) under uncultured bacterium. RNAcentral describes it as "partial 16S ribosomal RNA". It matches the Rfam family "Bacterial small subunit ribosomal RNA", at positions 524 to 776 of the family's 1533-position model. The record is from RNAcentral.